UUAUUCAUAUGCAUCAGAAAUGAAACCUGAAUAGUAAGCUUGGUGGAGGGAAAACAAACCGCUCAUGAGGCUCUCAGUCUGAGGGGUGGGGAAAGGAGAAAGCCAGCAAGCAAUUAGACAAGUAGAUAUGUAAUUACAAAUUACGAUACAUGCAAUGCAGAAAAUGAACUGUGUGCUGCCGGGCUGAGUUUAAAUUUGCAAUCUUUUUUUUAAUUGACCCGGAUUCAGAAGGGGUCAAUAGCAGCUGUUUUUACGGUUUCUCUGGGUGCUCAGCCCAGAACAGUAUGAAGCUCGUUAACAGCCCCUCCCCUUCUUGUCUUCCCAGCCGGGUGGAGCAAAAUGAGCACGCAGUGAGCCGGCCCAGCCUCUCUCCCAGCCGGCCCGACGCCCACCAUGAACCACUUGGAGGGCUCCGUGGAGGUGGAGGUGACCGACGAGGCGGCAGGCGGGGAGGUGAACGAGUCGGUGGAGGCUGACCUGGAGCACCCCGAGGUGGAGGAGCAGCAGCAGCGCUAUGCGGGCCGCCCCGGGCGCGGGCGCGCCGUCGAGGACCCGCGCGCCCCGCCGGGGCAGCAGGAGGAGGAGGAGCGCGGGGAGUGCCUGGCGCGCUCGGCCAGCACGGAGAGCGGCUUCCACAACCACACGGACACGGCCGAGGGCGACGUGAUCGCCGCGGCCCGCGACGGCUACGACGCGGAGCGCGCGCAGGACCCCGAGGACGAGAGCGCCUACGCCGUGCAGUACCGGCCCGAGGCCGAGGAGUACACGGAGCAGGCGGAGGCCGAGCACGCCGAGGCCACGCACCGCCGCGCGCUGCCCAACCACCUGCACUUCCACUCGCUGGAGCACGAGGAGGCGAUGAACGCGGCCUACUCGGGCUACGUGUACACGCACCGGCUGUUCCACCGCGGCGAGGACGAGCCCUACGCCGAGCCCUAUGCCGACUACGGGGGCCUCCAGGAGCACGUGUACGAGGAGAUCGGGGACGCGCCCGAGCUGGAGGCGCGCGACGGGCUGCGGCUGUACGAGCAGGAGCGCGACGAGGCCGCCGCGUAUCGCCAGGAGGCCCUGGGCGCGCGGCUGCACCACUACGACGAGCGCUCCGACGGCGAGUCCGACAGCCCGGAGAAGGAGGCGGAGUUCGCGCCCUACCCGCGUAUGGACAGCUACGAGCAGGAGGAGGACAUCGAUCAGAUUGUGGCCGAGGUCAAGCAGAGCAUGAGCUCGCAGAGCCUCGACAAGGCGGCCGAGGACAUGCCAGAGGCCGAGCAGGACCUGGAGCGCGCCCCCACCCCGGGCGGGGGCCGCCCUGACAGCCCCGAGCUGCAGGCGCUGGCGGGGCAGCAGCGGGCGGCGGGCACCGCGGGCGGCGAGGCGGGGCAGCGGUACAGCAAGGAGAAAAGGGAUGCCAUCUCGCUGGCCAUCAAGGACAUCAAAGAGGCCAUCGAGGAGGUGAAAACCAGGACCAUCCGUUCGCCUUACACCCCCGACGAGCCCAAAGAGCCCAUCUGGGUCAUGCGCCAGGACAUUAGCCCCACCAGGGAUUGUGACGACCAGAGGCCGGUGGAUGGAGAUUCCCCGUCUCCUGGCAGUUCCCCUCCCCUGGGGGCAGAGUCUUCGAGCCUACCCCUUCACCCCAGCGACCCCGCGGAGGCCUCCUCGAAUAAAGAGUCAAGAAAAAGCUUGGCUUCAUUCCCAACCUACGUUGAAGUUCCCGGACCCUGUGACCCGGAAGACUUGAUCGAUGGGAUCAUUUUUGCUGCCAAUUACCUUGGCUCCACCCAGCUGCUCUCAGACAAAACUCCUUCCAAAAACGUGCGCAUGAUGCAGGCCCAGGAAGCCGUGAGCAGGAUCAAGGCUCCCGAAGGGGAAUCUCAGCCGAUGACCGAGGUGGAUCUCUUCAUUUCUACCCAGAGAAUCAAAGUACUGAAUGCCGACACACAGGAGACGAUGAUGGACCACCCUCUGAGGACCAUUUCCUAUAUAGCAGACAUCGGGAACAUCGUCGUACUGAUGGCCCGCAGGCGGAUGCCCCGCUCCAACUCCCAGGAGAAUGUGGAAGCCUCCCACCCAUCCCAGGAUGGAAAAAGGCAGUACAAGAUGAUAUGCCACGUCUUUGAGUCUGAGGAUGCCCAGCUGAUCGCACAGUCCAUCGGGCAGGCCUUCAGCGUGGCAUACCAGGAAUUCCUCAGGGCCAACGGGAUUAACCCUGAAGACCUCAGCCAGAAGGAGUACAGUGAUCUGCUCAACACCCAGGACAUGUACAACGACGACCUCAUCCACUUCUCCAAGUCGGAAAACUGCAAAGAUGUCUUCAUAGAGAAGCAGAAAGGAGAAAUCCUGGGUGUGGUGAUUGUGGAGUCUGGCUGGGGGUCCAUCUUGCCAACGGUGAUCAUCGCCAACAUGAUGCAUGGAGGCCCCGCCGAGAAAUCAGGGAAGCUGAAUAUCGGGGACCAGAUCAUGUCCAUAAAUGGCACCAGCCUGGUGGGCUUGCCUCUGUCCACCUGCCAGAGCAUUAUUAAGGGUUUGAAGAAUCAGCCCCGGGUCAAGCUGAACAUCGUGAGGUGUCCUCCAGUGACGACCGUGUUGAUCAGGAGACCGGAUCUCCGCUACCAGCUGGGUUUCAGCGUCCAGAAUGGAAUCAUCUGCAGCCUCAUGCGAGGGGGCAUAGCCGAGAGAGGCGGCGUCCGCGUGGGACAUCGGAUCAUCGAGAUCAACGGGCAGAGCGUGGUGGCCACGCCUCACGAGAAGAUCGUCCACAUCCUCUCCAAUGCGGUGGGGGAGAUUCACAUGAAGACGAUGCCGGCUGCCAUGUACCGACUGCUGACGGCCCAGGAGCAACCCGUUUACAUCUGAGGCCGUGUCCCCCCGCCUGGCGGCUUGCAUGGAGGACUGUCCUCACUCGUGGUGUGUUUCUCGUGCUGCAUCUGUGUGCCCACUGAGACAUUUCCCUCUCACGCCCAGCACCGGUUCUACACAGGAAGAGAAGAAUCUGCAGACCUCUUUACUCUCUCUCCAGUUUGAAUUUUUUUUUUUAACGCCCAGAAACUUUUGUACCCACGCCCUUGAGGGUAGAGAGCAGCCAGUACCCACCGGGUGUCUGCCCAGACCAUCCUGAAGGGCCCCCGGGGGCUCCCAGGAGGACCGUCACGGCUCCAGGGGAGUCCUCCCUUCCCCCAAGAGGUGCUCCUGGGGGGGCAGUGAGGGCGCUGAGUCAGCAGGGCCUACAGUCCAGCGGCUGGUCUUGGCUCUGAUUGGCUCAGUGUAUGGGAACACGGUGUAUCAGCAGAGACCAGCUGUGUCUUUCAGGGUUUGCCCUGCCCACCACACUGGACUUGGGGCUCCACACCCCUCCGCCCAGAAUUUCUGAGCCAACCUUAUGCCUCUUCCAUAACUACAUUUAGUUUCGACAUAAUUGCGUUCUUAAAGGUGAGCCUUCUCCCCCAAGGGUAGGAGGGAGACGGCCUGGGACCAGGGUGCCAUCUUGGUGCAGAGAGCUCGGCAGGUCCUGGGGCAGCCCAGCCGCCUCAGGCUGUGCUAAGGUCACCAACCAGCCGAGAGACAUGGGCAGGUACUUUCUUCCUCCCUCUCUGCCACACAGGUACGUAUACCGCCUCUCUUGUGUAGGUAUCGCCCUCGCCUCCUUCCCUCACCAGUGAGGCACACAGAGCCCUUGGAAAGCCCACCUCGCCUCUCCACGAGGUCCCUUCCCCUGGCAGGUGAGGCCUGCAGGGGCUGCUCAGCCUUGUCCGGGGCGAGACCCCCCCACCCGCCCCGAGGCCUGGCCCCACCAGCGCCGCCUUGGCUCAGGGUCCUAGUGGACUCCCUUCGUGCCCCCACUCCACACUCACCCUGGGGGUCUCGGAAGGACGGACUGCUCCCGUGGAGGAAGAGAACGCAGAUGCAGUCGUGUUAGGCUUCCUGGCCCGAGGGCCCAGGCAAAAAGCCACUCUUGCUGCUUGGCUGGGAAAUGCUGGUGACUCAGCUUCGGGGACAGGUUCUCAGCUUCGUCUACCCGUCCUGGUCCAGCCAGGAUGCACCAGAACGCAUCCUGUCUCUGCCUUCUCACACGGGAGCAUUUCAGGGAGCCACCGUCAGCCUUGGGUUCACAAGAGGAGGAGACCCCCAGAGACCAAGGCCUGGAGGGCACGCCCUCCCCAGAGCAGGCUCCUCAGGGCCUGGAGCCCACCAUGGAACAGCGGCCUCAGAGAGUCCCAGACUAAACGACUACCUCCCCCAUCACUUCUGCCGCCCCUGAGGCCCCCCCAUUCGCACCCAACGUCCCCAUCUGCACGCUGAGGAAACCCAUCCACACGCCCUUCUUGGGUCCCUCGACCCAGUGGUGUGGCUGUUACCAAUGUUUACAACCGAGGGCCACCUCCUUUUAGACCUGUUUACUCUCUCUCUUCCAAGGCCGCUUGCUGGUCUGAGCUUCGUGUCUGUCUGCGCCUUCCCUGGCUUGGGCCCUCUGGGGCACACGACCCGAUUCUUUGCCCCCCUCCAUCACAGCAGGGCGUGAGGACCACGUGGGAAGGAAAUUUCUUGUACAUAUUCAGCACAGCCCCUAGAGUCUGAACUUGUACUAUUGUUCUGUAAAGAGGGUGAAAUAGAGCUUAUUGUAAAGCUUGGGACAAGUAGAGUAUUGUAUUUGUAACAAUAUUGUUCUUUGUAUACACAAAACUCAAUGAUCUCUAUAUAUAAAUAUAAAUUAUAUAAAUAAAAUAUAUAUACACGUGAGCCCGGAAUGAUGGCACCACACACCCACUGAAUGUACUUGCUCUGACAGUCUGGUCACCGGCCCGGCCCGCCCUCCCCUCCUCUGUACCGUUUUGGGGGUUGUGAUGUAUUUAAUGUGUUCUCUUCCUUGAUUUCACUGAACGCUAAUGUCUGUAAGAGUCGCUGCAACAAUAAACAAGAACUUCGCCUCUUGGCCCAGUGUCGUGUUGUUUCGGGGGAGGGACAGGAUGCCAGGUGGGGGAAAGAUGGCAUCUUGUUCCCUGCAGGCCCUCUCCUGGCCCGCCCGUCAGGCCAGCACCAGGUGGGCGCCACAGUGGGUGGGCCUGCUCUGGCCCCCGUCACCAAGCCCCCUGCAAGGGUGCUGUCCCCUGGGGGAUGACUGUCCCCGGGAGUGGGGUCUGGCACCCGACACUUUCCCCCUCGGCAUGAUCUCCGCCACA
RNA transcript from Panthera uncia (snow leopard), 5177 nucleotides. It is a transcript of the gene named amyloid beta precursor protein binding family A member 1, with no coding region annotated. The transcript has 12 exons. Lineage: Eukaryota; Metazoa; Chordata; Mammalia; Carnivora; Felidae. The record is from RefSeq and is a predicted model, not a curated record.